RNAcentral lists this ribosomal RNA (529 nucleotides) under Mytilus californianus (California mussel). Its description in RNAcentral is "partial 12S ribosomal RNA". It matches the Rfam family "Microsporidia small subunit ribosomal RNA", at positions 780 to 1311 of the family's 1311-position model. The record is from RNAcentral. Lineage: Eukaryota; Metazoa; Mollusca; Bivalvia; Mytilida; Mytilidae.
AAAUAAAUAGGCGGUGUCUGAAUUAGAAAACAGGGGAUCCUGGGUGUUAAAGGACAAUCCACCCACAUUUGAGCCUUAGCUUAUUAGUGCGUGUGUAUGGUUGUUUACUCUAAUAUGGUAAGUGUCCGGGUGCAAGUUUUGGUGAUUAGCUAAACCAAAGUUAUUGUUAGUAACUGAAGUUAGUAAAAAUACUUGGUUUGGAUUUAGUGUGGCUACUAAUAUGGGUCUAUGGUCCUUGUAGCAUAGCUUCAAAAAUAAUUCAGAUUGACAUGCAGCUUAUGCUAAGGUCAGCCUGGGAUACAGAUGCAAUUAAGCAGUAACUUAAAAUCUUAUUUAUUUUGAAUAAAUAAAAUAAACUGACGAAUAAGGUAAGAAAACUUCACUUUGAAGAAGGACUUGUAAGUAAGGGCUAAAAAUAAAGUUGUCCUGAAUACAAUCAGAUGAGUACUAAUCGCCCGUCGCUCGCGGGGAAACCUGUGAAAAGUCGUAACAAGGUAGCAGUAACGGAAGUUGUUGCUAGACUAUAAAU